Molecule: long non-coding RNA, 1992 nt
Filed under: Amphibalanus amphitrite
Lineage: Eukaryota; Metazoa; Arthropoda; Thecostraca; Balanomorpha; Balanidae
Description: uncharacterized LOC122365900
Source: RNAcentral
CCGUAGGGGUCACUCCACGGAGUCUGCUAUGCUCGACGCUGUCCAAUUCAUAAUAUCGGAAACUGACAAGGGGAAAGUGGUGUCAAAUAUUGCGGCCGAUAUCUCCAAAGCCUUUGACAGCGUCGAGCAUGGCAGACUCAUGGAUAAACUAGGUUGGCACGGUGUGGAUGGGCACUGGUUUUCCGACUGGCUUGACGGUAGGCGUCAGAUAGUAAAAGGGGGGUCACACCUCCUUCCUGUCACCCAUGGCGUGGUACAGGGGAGCACUUUGGGAGCAAUCUUGUUCUCGUUAUUCACUAAUGAUGUCGCUUCCCAUGUCGUUUGCGAUAAAAUUGUAAUGUAUGCCGAUGACUCGCAAUUUCUCAACAGUUUCAACAAAAACGAUAUGAAUAGUCAUAAACACAAAGUGGAGGAUAUGCUCUCCAUCGUUCAGAACUGGGGUGACCAAAACGGACUUAAAAUUAAUCCGGCUAAAACCGAAAUGAUACUUUUUGGCAUGCCAAAACAAGGCAUUGGUGGCGACAUUAUGGUGAACUUUGCUGGUGCGCAGGUGCGGCCAGCAAUCAAGAUGAAAGUGUUAGGCGUCACAUUGGACCCCGAGCUGAAGUGGGAGGACCAUGUCUCGAUGGUGAUCCGGAGAUCAUACGCAACUUUGGCAGGGCUGGCGAAAUUUUCCCAUUCUUUACCCACCGCAGUAAAAAAGUUCAUUGUUGAGGCUCUGGUCUUCCCACAUACACUGUAAAAAAUGUUAGCACAGUUUGAGUUUUCUGACUCACUUUAACGAUGUGUUCAAACAACUAACUUGCUAAUGAAUCCGUAUUUAUCGAGUAAUUUAAACCUUAUUGCGAAGCAAAACACGGUUAGUCCAAAUCAGGAUGAACUAGCUCGGAAUCCCCAUGUACAAUGACACUGUUCGAGUAAUCGCCAUGUAUUCAUACCCGCAAUUGGCGGACACUGUGUUCCGAAACACGAAUACGAUUUUGUGGAAGCAUCUUUGCGCACGGUUCUACCGUGUUGAAUGACACGUUGCCGUGUUUUACCCCUCUGCGUCGAGUUUAAAAACCCGAAUGGGGUUAUUUGGGCCGCGAUCUUGAGGGACAUUAACACCAAUUAACACUGUGGGUUGUUAACUUACUCGGUUCAGUUUCGCGCCAAAUGCAGCGCCGCGUGGGCCUCAGUCGCCAUCUUUGUGCGAUCCAGGGAGGUCGUGUCUGUGCUGCGUGUGACUUCUUGUUGAAUAUGGCUCAAGAUGAGCAGAAUGAAGGUCAAUCUCGAAGUCCCACAGUCAGAGCUCAAGACUGUCAGGCAGGACUUCACUCCUUGAUGAAUGCGGCUCAACUGCUAACAGGAUAAGAAGACACGGACCGGGAGAAGUUGGACGCUUUUUAGAAUUUCCUCUCGUACCGCUAGUGUCAUGGGUGGACGGGAGCGAGGCUGCCAUCUCCGAAGACAACACGCCUCUGAGUGUGCGCCUCCUAGUUUGUGCGGCAAUGUUCCCCGUGUUCAAUGAGAAAAUUCAAUGCCCCAGCGCUCAGAACUCCCAGCUAGUAUUGACGCAAGAGCUCUCCCAAAUGUCGACCGGAAAGUCGUUAAAAAAAUCGUUGCGACGACCGCGGCUCGACAAGCUGAGGACCGCGCCAGUGAAUGCAUGUGAAACGGCACCUCUACUCUCUCAUCGCCAGGCCCAAAGACGUGUUGUUUAUAGGUGUCUUUCAUAAUACUAGUGUUGCUGAUCGCGGAGGACCACUGUCCACUGCUCGUCCGCCGUGGCGUUACUUCUGAUGAGGCUCAGAGCGCAUGUGUAUUGUUUACUGUGAACAGUCUGUUGAAAUAUAUAAUGAGUAGAUCUGUACUCUGAGACUUAAUGAACUUGGCUAACGAGGAUGUGUGUUAAAGCAAAACGAACUGUGUUACACGCCUCAAUAAUUAUGUGGAAUGAGUUGUAUAAAUGUAUACUUCAUGUCGAUUUAUUGCGGUUAAAGACGUUACCUC